This 257-nucleotide ribosomal RNA is filed under the name uncultured bacterium. RNAcentral describes it as "partial 16S ribosomal RNA". It matches the Rfam family "Bacterial small subunit ribosomal RNA", at positions 15 to 264 of the family's 1533-position model. The record is from RNAcentral.
GAUCCUGGCUCAGAUUGAACGCUGGCGGCAGGCCUAACACAUGCAAGUCGAACGGUAACAGGAAGAAGCUUGCUUCUUUGCUGACGAGUGGCGGACGGGUGAGUAAUGUCUGGGAAACUGCCUGAUGGAGGGGGGAUAACUACUGGAAACGGUAGCUAAUACCGCAUAACGUCGCAAGACCAAAGAGGGGGGACCUUCGGGCCGUCUUGCCAUCGGAUGUGCCCACGAUGGGAUUAGCUAGUAGGUGGGGUAACGGG